RNAcentral lists this ribosomal RNA (666 nucleotides) under Acinetobacter sp. Its description in RNAcentral is "bacterial SSU rRNA". It matches the Rfam family "Bacterial small subunit ribosomal RNA", at positions 348 to 1006 of the family's 1533-position model. Lineage: Bacteria; Pseudomonadati; Pseudomonadota; Gammaproteobacteria; Moraxellales; Moraxellaceae. The record is from RNAcentral.
GCAGCAGUGGGGAAUAUUGGACAAUGGGCGGAAGCGUGAUCCAGCCAUGCCGCGUGUGUGAAGAAGGCCUUUUGGUUGUAAAGCACUUUAAGCGAGGAGGAGGCUACCGAGACUAAUACUCUUGGAUAGUGGACGUUACUCGCAGAAUAAGCACCGGCUAACUCUGUGCCAGCAGCCGCGGUAAUACAGAGGGUGCGAGCGUUAAUCGGAUUUACUGGGCGUAAAGCGUGCGUAGGCGGCUUUUUAAGUCGGAUGUGAAAUCCCUGAGCUUAACUUAGGAAUUGCAUUCGAUACUGGGAAGCUAGAGUAUGGGAGAGGAUGGUAGAAUUCCAGGUGUAGCGGUGAAAUGCGUAGAGAUCUGGAGGAAUACCGAUGGCGAAGGCAGCCAUCUGGCCUAAUACUGACGCUGAGGUACGAAAGCAUGGGGAGCAAACAGGAUUAGAUACCCUGGUAGUCCAUGCCGUAAACGAUGUCUACUAGCCGUUGGGGCCUUUGAGGCUUUAGUGGCGCAGCUAACGCGAUAAGUAGACCGCCUGGGGAGUACGGUCGCAAGACUAAAACUCAAAUGAAUUGACGGGGGCCCGCACAAGCGGUGGAGCAUGUGGUUUAAUUCGAUGCAACGCGAAGAACCUUACCUGGUCUUGACAUAGUAAGAACUUCCAGAGA